GUGUCAGCAGCCGCGGUAAAACGUAGGUGGCGAGCGUUAUCCGGAUUCACUGGGCGUAAAGCGCGUGCAGGUGGUUAGGUAAGUCGGGCAUGAAACCUCUUGGCUCAACUGAGAGAAGCUGUCCGAUACUGUCUGACUUGAGGGUGUGAGAGGGAGGUGGAAUUCCGCGUGUAGUGGUGAAAUGCGUAGAUAUGCGGAGGAACACCAGUGGCGAAAGCGGCCUCCUGGCACACUCCUGACACUCAGACGCGAAAGCUAGGGGAGCGAACGGGAUUAGAUACCCUAGUAGUCC
This 292-nucleotide ribosomal RNA is filed under the name uncultured bacterium. RNAcentral describes it as "partial 16S ribosomal RNA". It matches the Rfam family "Bacterial small subunit ribosomal RNA", at positions 505 to 796 of the family's 1533-position model. The record is from RNAcentral.